GGACAAUCAUGUCAUCUGUGAACAAAGACAAUUUUAUUUCUUCUUUUCCAAUAUGUAUACCUUUUAUUUCCUUUUCUUGUCUUGUUACAUUACCUAGGACUUCCAGAAUGGUGUUGAAUAGGAGUGGUGAAAGUGGACAUCCUUGCCUUGAUUCUGAUAUACUGGGACAACAUGUAUUCAUUUCAAGGAGUUUACAAAGAAACUGCCCUAUGGAUUGGGAGUGA
Molecule: long non-coding RNA, 224 nt
Filed under: Felis catus (domestic cat)
Lineage: Eukaryota; Metazoa; Chordata; Mammalia; Carnivora; Felidae
Description: lncRNA (ENSFCAG00000045534.2)
Source: RNAcentral